GCCAGGUGUGGUGGCGCACACCUGUAAUCCCAGCACUUUGGGAGGCUGAGGCAGGCAGAUCACUUGAGGCCAGGAGUUUGAGACUAGCCUGGCCAACAUGGUGAAACCCUGUCUCUA
Unclassified non-coding RNA from Pongo abelii (Sumatran orangutan), 117 nucleotides. It matches the Rfam family "Metazoan signal recognition particle RNA". Rfam says of the family: The signal recognition particle (SRP) is a universally conserved ribonucleoprotein. It is involved in the co-translational targeting of proteins to membranes. Lineage: Eukaryota; Metazoa; Chordata; Mammalia; Primates; Hominidae. The record is from Ensembl.